GGGCUCGUAGCUCAGCUGGUUAGAGCGCAUGAUUCACAUUCAUGAGGUCAGAGGUUCAAAUCCUCUCGAGCCCA
This is a non-coding RNA of Candidatus Buchananbacteria bacterium, 74 nucleotides long. The record is from Rfam. NCBI's taxonomy places the organism in Bacteria, Candidatus Buchananiibacteriota.